UACGUAGGGAGCAAGCGUUGUCCGGAAUCAUUGGGCGUAAAGCGCGCGUAGGCGGCCUCGUAAGUCCGUUGUGAAAGUCAAAGGCUCAACCUUUGAAAGCCGAUGGAUACUGUGAGGCUAGAGUCCGGAAGAGGCGAGUGGAAUUCCUGGUGUAGCGGUGGAAUGCGCAGAUAUCGGGAAGAACACCCGUGGCGAAGGCGGCACUCUGGGACGGUACUGACGCUGAGACGCGAAAGCGUGGGGAGCGAACAGG
This 253-nucleotide ribosomal RNA is filed under the name uncultured bacterium. Its description in RNAcentral is "partial 16S ribosomal RNA". It matches the Rfam family "Bacterial small subunit ribosomal RNA", at positions 524 to 776 of the family's 1533-position model. The record is from RNAcentral.